AACUAAGCAUAUCAAUAAGCGGAGGAAAAGAAACCAACAGGGAUUGCCCUAGUAACGGCGAGUGAAGCGGCAACAGCUCAAAUUUGAAAUCUGGCUCUUUUAGGGUCCGAGUUGUAAUUUGCAGAGGGCGCUUUGGCGUUGGCAGCGGUCCAAGUUCUUUGGAACAGGACGUCACAGAGGGUGAGAAUCCCGUACGUGGUCGCUAUCCUUCGCCGUGUAAAGCCCCUUCGACGAGUCGAGUUGUUUGGGAAUGCAGCUCUAAAUGGGAGGUAAAUUUCUUCUAAAGCUAAAUACUGGCCAGAGACCGAUAGCGCACAAGUAGAGUGAUCGAAAGAUGAAAAGCACUUUGGAAAGAGAGUCAAAUAGCACGUGAAAUUGUUGAAAGGGAAGCGCUUGCAGCCAGACUUGCCUGUAGUUGCUUAUCCGGACUUUUGUCCGGUGCACUCUUCUGCGGGCAGGCCAGCAUCAGUUUGGGCAGUUGGAUAAAGGUCUCUGUCAUGUACCUCUCUUCGGGGAGGCCUUAUAGGGGAGACGACAUGCAACUAGCCUGGACUGAGGUCCGCGCAUCUGCUAGGAUGCUGGCGUAAUGGCUGUAAGCGGCCCGUCUUGAAACACGGACCAAGGAGUCUAACAUCUAUGCGAGUGUUUGGGUGUCAAGCCCAGACGCGUAAUGAAAGUGAACGGAGGUGGGAACCCUUUGGGUGCACCAUCGACCGAUCCUGAUGUUUUCGGAAGGAUUUGAGUAAGAGCAUGGCUGUUGGGACCCGAAAGAUGGUGAACUAUGCUUGAAUAGGGUGAAGCCAGAGGAAACUCUGGUGGAGGCUCGCAGCGGUUCUGACGUGCAAAUCGAUCGUCAAAUUUGGGCAUAGGGGCGAAAGACUAAUCGAACUAUCUAGUAGCUGGUUCCUGCCGA
RNAcentral lists this ribosomal RNA (913 nucleotides) under Phaeosphaeria eustoma. RNAcentral's name for it is "eukaryotic LSU rRNA". It matches the Rfam family "Eukaryotic large subunit ribosomal RNA", at positions 32 to 964 of the family's 3401-position model. Lineage: Eukaryota; Fungi; Ascomycota; Dothideomycetes; Pleosporales; Phaeosphaeriaceae. The record is from RNAcentral.